RNAcentral lists this long non-coding RNA (349 nucleotides) under Hordeum vulgare. Its description in RNAcentral is "long non-coding RNA (HVUL_LNC015354)". Lineage: Eukaryota; Viridiplantae; Streptophyta; Magnoliopsida; Poales; Poaceae. The record is from RNAcentral.
AAUACCUUAUUGAUACAUUGCAUGAGUAGAUAGUUAUCCUAAAGUCUUGCUGAGUACCUCCGUACUCAUGUUUGCUUAAUAAAUGUUGCAGAGGUUGCUAAUGACCCUAAUGGAGGGUUCUUCAUAGACAUCGACGACGACGAGUAGCUGGUGUCCCAACUACGAUCUGGCCCUAGGUUGGGCCUGUAGUAUAGUCAGGCCAUGUGCCUUCUAGUUUCACCUGUCUGUACUCAGACAGUUUUAAACACUUCCGCUGGCUUGUAACUGAAUGACUGCUAUGAUGGGUCGUGAGAGCCUUACUGUGUAAUAUUAUGUGUGUGGCUCUUCCGAGCCUCUUAAAUAAAGCUUG